Molecule: long non-coding RNA, 1385 nt
Organism: Drosophila yakuba
Lineage: Eukaryota; Metazoa; Arthropoda; Insecta; Diptera; Drosophilidae
Exons: 2
Source: RefSeq, a predicted model, not a curated record
AUUCUGCUUUCUAGUAUACCAACGCACUUUCUUUCCAUGGUUACAAUGUCCACUUUUCCCAGUCGCUCAGCCAGUUUUUCCCACCGCUGAUCUAAGAUAUGAGAUAAUCCAACUUCCGUUGCGAACUACUUGCAAGUGCUAAUCCAAAUUCUCGACAUCUUGAGAGUUAACCAUCUCAUCUUCGUCCGCAAAGCUUCCUUUUCAAUGUGUCCCUGCAAAUCCGAGCCACUUUGUUGGGUAAACAGAGGCAAAUUCUCAACACUUUUAUCUGAGAUUGAAGGGGACAUAAACAUCCUUUUGAGGAGCCGGGGCAUUCACGUAUCCGCAUCCGUAUCUCUUGGAAUCGCACUGCAAGGCCAGAGGCUGUCAUCUAGAUGGAGAUAUUAUCUAAUUCCAUAUUCCCACCCCGCCCACGUGAAGCAGUUCUCAAUGCAAAAUCCAAUAGUCAUGCAGACACACAGUCACACAUUCGAACAAUCCGCAAUUGAGGAAGAUUGAGCAGAUUGAGGAAUUGAAAGGAGACUCCAAGGUAAACACUUGCGGAUGCUCAAGAUUAGUUGUGGUGGUGGUCCAGCUCGCCAGCUCGCCAAUGUCCUUCGAUAUUUGCUUUAAAAGGACAUUUUACAGCCAUCGGCAAUUCAUCUUGUCCUUUCUCCGCUCGGCAAAGGAAAUAAAAAAUUUGUUUGUCAGUUUGCUAGCUGAUUCCCAAAUGUCUUUAUGAGCCUUGUGCAUUGUCCUUUUCCCUUUUUAUUUUCCAAUGGAGCGGAAGCAGGAAGCACUAACAUGUAGGUAAAUGUCAAGUCAGCCCAUUUGGCAGCAUUUUCUUUUUUUCUCUUACAAUUUUUUGUCAUCUGAUUGUUUACAUUUUGGCGUAUUUUGACAACUAAAUUGGUGGUCGAAGGACUUCAUCUUAUUUCCCACCCAAGUUGGCCACAUGUUCGAUUUCCGGCAGCCACCUUUUCAUAACCCACAAAACUGUGGCCAGGAAUACUUUUAUGGGAACUGCACCGAGCUGAGCUGAGCUGAACUGAACUGAACUGAGCAGAACUAAGGCGAGGAGCACUGGAUGUGGACGUCUCGAAGGUCGACCGGGCAAUUACUUGGCUAAAAUGCUCUGGACCGACUGCUGCAAUUGCAACUACCGCUUUCCUUCUCCUUCCAUCCUUUUCCCGAUUCGUCCUUGGCUUGUGCAAUUUUCUUUGGGCACAACUGUCAUUAUGGACUUUGGUCAGGCUGCAUUCAAGAUUUGUUGCAAUUUAUAUUUGCCGUGGUGGCCGGGGAGGCGAAACCGCAGCCUCCUUCUGCGCUCGGCAUGUGGAAAGAUAUUUUCCAAUAAAAAUUGGGUUAGUUGCGGAAUUUCCGUAUAUUAAAGAUUAUUUACCUCA